CUGCAGCUCAAGUGGUGAUCAUUAUUAUUGGGCCUAAAACGUCCGUAGCCGGUUUAGUAAAUGCCUGGGUAAAUCGUGUAGCUUAACUAUACGAAUUCCGGGUAGACUGCUAAACUUGAGACCGGGAGAGGCUAGAGGUACUCCUGGGGUAGAGGUGAAAUUCUGUAAUCCUAGGGGGACCACCAGUGGCGAAGGCGUCUAGCUAGAACGGGUCUGACGGUGAGGGACGAAGCCCUGGGGCACAAACCGGAUUAGAUACCCGAGUAGUCC
Molecule: ribosomal RNA, 270 nt
Filed under: uncultured archaeon
Lineage: Archaea
Description: partial 16S ribosomal RNA
Rfam family: Archaeal small subunit ribosomal RNA
Source: RNAcentral